GAUGAACGCUGGCGGCGUGCCUAAUACAUGCAAGUCGAGCGAAAGAAGGGGAAUUUUUCCUCUCUGCAGUUGCGGGCGGCCGGGUAAUUACUAGGUGGAUACCUUGCCUUUAGGACUGGGAUACGUUCGGGAACCCGAAGCUAAUACCGGUUAUUAGUUUGAACGGCAGGGUUCAUAGGUGAACACGGUUUCUGCUGUACCUAAAUCUGGUUUCCGCGCUGCAUUAGCUAGUUGGUAAGGUAACGGCUUACCAAGGCAACGAUGCGUAGCCGACCUGAGAGGGUGAUCGGCCACACUGGAACUGAGACACGGUCCAGACUCCUACGGGAGGCAGCAGUAGGGAAUCUUCCGCAAUGGGCGAAAGCCUGACGGAGCAACGCCGCGUGAGUGAUGAAGGUCUUCGGAUCGUAAAACUCUGUUAUUAGGGAAGAACAUAUGUGUAAGUAACUCUGCACGUCUUGACGGUACCUAAUCAGAAAGCCACGGCUAACUACGUG
Molecule: ribosomal RNA, 497 nt
Filed under: uncultured bacterium
Lineage: Bacteria
Description: partial 16S ribosomal RNA
Rfam family: Bacterial small subunit ribosomal RNA
Source: RNAcentral